RNA transcript from Suricata suricatta (meerkat), 3787 nucleotides. It is a transcript of the gene named solute carrier family 44 member 3, with no coding region annotated. The record is from RefSeq and is a predicted model, not a curated record. NCBI's taxonomy places the organism in Eukaryota, Metazoa, Chordata, Mammalia, Carnivora, Herpestidae. The transcript is spliced from 17 exons.
GCCUUUCUGGCCGCAGGCUCCUCGGCCGCGGGCGCUUCGUGGGCUCCCAGUCGUCGGCCCGGCCGCCGAGCGCAGGAUGCAGUGCCCCGGCGCCCAGUACCUGGUUUCCGCAGAGAGAGCCCCCCAGAAAAGAGAGUGGAGACCUCAGAUUUACAGGAAGUGCACAGAUACGACAUGGUUAUUGCUGUUCUUUCUCUUUUGGACUGGUUUGCUGUUCAUUAUGGGCUACUCGGUGGUGGCAGGAGCUACGGGAAGACUCCUCUUCGGCUACGACAGCUUUGGCAACGUGUGCGGCAAGAAGAACUCCCCGGUAGAAGGGGCUCCUCUUUCAGGGCAGGACAUGACCCUGAAAAAACAUGUAUUCUUUAUGAAUUCCUGCAAUCUGGAAGUCAAGGACGUCAGGCUCAGUUCCACUGUCCUGUGCGUGUCCCACUGUCCUGAAGAGCAGCUUGAUACCCUGGAAGAGGUCCAGCUCUUUGCAGACAACAAUGGGUCCUUCCUGUGUAUUUACAGUUUGAAUUCCAUCAACUACACCCAGAAUCCCAAUGCAGACUCAUUGUGUCCCAGGCUUCCAGUUCCUCCGAGCAAGUCUUUCCCCUUGUUUAACAGAUGCAUCCCUCAAACACCUGAGUGCUAUUCCUCGUUUGCAUCUGUGUUGAUAAAUGAUGUUGACACCCUCCGUCAAAUUCUAAGUGGAAUAAUGUCCGGAAGAGACACGAUCCUUGGUCUGUGUAUCCUCGCAUUAGCCUUGUCUUUAGCCAUGAUGUUCACCUUCCGGUUCAUCACCACUCUUCUGGUUCACAUUUUCAUUGCACUGAUUAUUUCGGGACUGCUGUUUGUCUGUGGUGUCUUAUGGUGGCUGUACUACGACUAUACCCAUGACCUCAGCAUAGAAUUGGACACAGAAAAGGAAAAUAUGAAGUGUUUACUGGGGUUUGCUCUUGUAUCUACAGUAAUCACGGUAGUUCUGCUCAGCUUGAUUUUUGUCCUCAGAAAGAGAAUAACAUUGACAGUUGAACUUUUCCAAGUCAUAAAUAAAGCCCUCAGCAACUCUCCAUUCCUGCUGUUCCAACCACUGUGGACUUUUGCCAUUCUCGUUUUCUUCUGGGUCCUCUGGGUGGCCGUGCUGCUGAGCCUGGGAACUGCAGGAGCUGCACAGGUUAUGGAAGGUGGCCGAGUGGAAUACAAGCCGAUUUUAGCCAUUCAGUAUAUGUGGUGGUACCAUCUGAUCGGCCUCAUCUGGACUAGCGAAUUCAUUCUUGCAUGCCAGCAAAUAACUGUGGCCGGCGCACUGGUCACUUGCUAUUUCAACAGAAAUAAAAACGACCCUCCUGAUCGCCCAAUCCUUUGGUCUCUCUCCAUUCUUUUCUGCUACCAUCAAGGAACGGCCAUAAAAGGGUCAUUUUUAAUCACUGUGGCCAGGGUUCCAAGAACCAUUCUCAAGUAUGUUCACGACACUCUGAAAGACAAGCAUAGCGCAUGGUCGAGGUGCAUGUUCAGAUGCUGCUUCUGCUGUUUCCGGUGUCUUGACAAAUGCCUGUGCCGUCUCAACCAGAAUGCAUACACCGCAACUGCCAUUAACGGGACAGAUUUUUGUACAUCAGCAAAAGAUGCGCUCAAACUCUUAUCCAAGAAUUCAAGUCAUUUCACAUCUGUAAACUGCUUUGGAGACUUCAUAAUUUUUCUAGGAAAGGUGUUGGUGGUGUGUCUCACUGUUUUUGGAGGACUCAUGGCAUUUAACUACAACCGGGUGCUGCAGGUGUGGGCGAUCCCUCUGCUACUGGUUGCUUUUUUUGCCUACUUCGUAGCCCAUAGUUUCUUAUCUGUGUUUGAAACUGUGCUGGACACUCUCUUCCUGUGUUUUGCUGUUGAUCUGGAAACAAAUGAUGGAUCGUCAGAAAAGCCCUACUUUAUGGACCGGGAGUUUUUGAGUUUUGUAAAAAGGAUCAACAAGUUAAAAGACCCGAGGGCACAGAGGGAGGUGAGCUCAUCAAGGAGCGAGGAGGGAACAGAACUCCAGCCCGUCGUGUGACAGGUGCGCGUUAGGUGCCCCUGGAAAGUGGCCUUCUUCUGAGAGCCAUUCACAGAAUAAACGUUUUAGGUUUCUCACAUGCAGAAUGGAGAAAAUGCCACCUACGUUGGAUUUAGGAGAAGCUUCAACAUAAAGAAUGUAAAAGCAGCGCGUAACGAGGGUCCCCUGGAGAGUUACCUGUGAGCACCUUUCACGACCACAUACACUCUCCAGGUCAUCAAGUUCAGAAGCUCAUCACACAUUCAACAGAACUUACGCGAGCAGCCCUUAAGCCUCAAAGAGCCAGGCACAAGUACAGUAACUCCUACCUCAUUUCUCCAUUUUGCCAACCAGACAUUGCUUUUUUACCAGUUAAGCCUGGCAAACCUGAAUGGCACCUGUGAGAGACAACGCCACAUGUGGCAGGACAUGUUCCGGAAACGGCAAAUAAUACAUUUUGACUUUAGGUCACAAGGAAAAAGCUUAUUCAAGCCUAUCCCCACUCCAGUUGGAGGUGAGCCCCGCCUGCUCUCCCGAGGUUACGGGGGCUCCCUAGGAGGUCUAGCAAGGAAACACUACCAUCGCGCACGGGUUAGAAUGCACAGGUAAUGGGAAGGCUAGCUAACCUCUUCUUAGAACACCAGAUGAUUUUACCUGCCAAGUUUCAGAGGCAUUUGAAAGCAUUUUACUUGGAUUUGGGGCAAGAAGUAAAGCUGCUGUAAGAAAACAUCUCUUUUCUUCUGGUUAGAUAGAAAGGCCAGCUAUUCUGACUGCCAACAAAAGCCAUGAGCCACCCCACACUUGUGUUCCUACAGGAAAGGUCCUCUGAUUCUUCUGCUUUCUCAGCAAAAUGUACUUUCCUGAAGGAAUGUACUUUAAAUAUACCAUACCAAAAAUACCUCCUUGGAACAUAGUUAAUAAGCACAGAUGACCAAAUUAAGAGCCACCGCUUCAGCCAUUUAAAGGGACAGAGGUGCUCUCUGACUAGGCAGUGCGCCUUUCUACUCCAGAGGAUCGUAUAAUGCCAGGUGUCUUCUCUGGCAGCAAAAAAAGGGCUUCUUCAAAGUUUCAUUAAAAUCACCAGCAUCUUCAUGGGAAAAGAACCACAUUCCAUUCCUCCAGCUCUCAUGUCACUGGACAGAGAAAGAACGAGGAGUGUGAACUCAACCAAAUUCAGAGGAACGAGAAUUCUUUUCUCCACUGAGAAUAUGGCUGUAGGGCCAACCAGUAUACCCAGUUCUACUAGCUGGGGACACUUUGCUCUUGGCUCUUUUUCCUUAAAAAGGAAGGGAGGAAAAAAAUCAACACAAUCCUCCCACCCAGAUACUAGCUGUAAACGUUUGUGUGUAUCCUUCUAGGUUUUUUAUCUUCUCAACUUGUGUUAUGUAUGUAUCAAUACACAUGCAUAUAAAUAUAUAUACAAAUAUAAGCACGUGCAGCUUUAAAAUAAAAUUGUGAUCACACUGACCAUCGUACUUUAUAACCUGAUUUGUUUUCCUUAAGCUUUGACCUCUUAUGUAUCAUUUUUACCUUCUAAUGUAUAAGGUACAUUAUGGUUAUAAUGUAACCAACUGACUAGUGUUUGGAAUUUCAGGUUUCCAGUUUCUUACCAGGUACGACUGUGUACUGUACAAAAAUAAACCCGCCUCACAUGAUGCAGUGGCCAAGAGGGCACACUUCUCCAGGGGGAUGGGGGGAAAAUACCUGAAAUAAGUAUUUCCCAUAGUGCUUGGCUGCUGUGUUGUGCAAAUAAACGACUCUGGCAUUGAGGUUUUA